UACAGAGGUCUCAAGCGUUGUUCGGAUUCAUUGGGCGUAAAGGGUGCGUAGGUGGCGGGGUAAGUCGGAUGUGAAAUCCGGGGGCUCAACCCCGGAACUGCAUUCGAUACUGCCUUGCUCGAGUACUGGAGAGGAGAUUGGAAUUUACGGUGUAGCAGUGAAAUGCAUAGAUAUCGUAAGGAAGACCAGUGGCGAAGGCGAAUCUCUGACAGUUACUGACACUGAGGCACGAAGGCCAGGGGAGCAAACAGG
RNAcentral lists this ribosomal RNA (252 nucleotides) under uncultured bacterium. RNAcentral's name for it is "partial 16S ribosomal RNA". It matches the Rfam family "Bacterial small subunit ribosomal RNA", at positions 524 to 776 of the family's 1533-position model. The record is from RNAcentral.